CCCACUUCUAGUUUUAAUUGAAAAAUUGUGGCUCAAAGCAGAAAUGAAAGAGUCAAAUUGUAGCCCAUUUACUAGAAAGAAGGUCAUGCUAGUUGUGAUGAUACAUUUUUAUUUAAAUACAAGAAAAACCUUUUGCUAAUUGCUUUCACAUAGCGCAGCUGUAAAUUUUUUUUUAUCUGUCUUGCUGCAGUUUGUGUCUCUGCAUUUCUUGUCUUGUUCUGAUUAUUGAAGAAUGUUUUUUCUUUACUUUUUGGAGCUCUACAGUGCUGGCAUUUAUCAAGUGAAGACACACAGCACAGCCUUGUAUAAAUAAUGGCACUGGGCCAAGUACAGCUGAGGUGGUUGCCAGCACAACUCCAUUGAAGUCAAAGGAAUUGCACCACGGGUGAGUUUGGCCCUAGGCUCAGGUCAUGGAGGACUUUAACAUGACAAUUUUCAGUAAUGCUUCAGCUGUUUGAGGUAGUUGAGUCUGGGUUUGCUUUUUGGUUGAGUACUGUAUUUUGUUUCAAAUAAAGGAGCUGAACUUCUGCUCAAUGGAGUGAAUAGGGCUUUUAUAAGUGGACUACUUCUGCAGUUUCUGUCCUCAAUCUGCUUUGCCUGACUUACGGAGAGGCAGCAGAGGUUUGGCGCCACAAAACAGCGUUGCUACCUUAAAGAUGACAUCAGCUCCCCUGGAUCCAGAGCUAUUGUGUGAAGGAAACAGGGCCAAAUGUGGAAAAGAAGGAAAUGAGCACAUUGUGUCUGAGUUAGCUUCCCAGGAUCAAAUGUCCCCCUGCAUGAACCUUUGCAUGUAUUUAUGAAAUAAUAUUUUUCUUUGACAGGGCACAAAUGAACUCAGCAGCUCAGUUAUUGCUAUGCCAGACCUUUAUAACAUGCUUUAUGUGCUUCUCAAUAUGAUUGUAUAUUUCCUGUCUCUAUACAAACCUCUCUAUGUGUAAGUGUCAAAACGUUAUUCUGCUGGUAUUGUGGCCAAUAUCAGCUGGAAUUUUGUCUUUUACUUUGAGGAAGAGGGGUCAAAUUCAUAUUUGUUACUGAGAAAUGUGCUUUCACGUAAUGUGAGACCCUGUGUAUCACUCAGUGUUCCUGUGAAAGAAGAAGCAUCUCCAAAAUCACACAUAGUCAAAGGCAAUAGAAAGACUCACUUUAUAAGGUUUGGUCUUUUCUACAUCCCACAGUGGAACUUUAUGUCUUUUCUGCUCUAAAAUCAUGUUACUAAAGGACACAUGUGAGACAGCAGGUCAAAUUGGAAGAAAUGCACCAUUUAGAUCU
Molecule: long non-coding RNA, 1269 nt
Filed under: Zonotrichia albicollis (white-throated sparrow)
Lineage: Eukaryota; Metazoa; Chordata; Aves; Passeriformes; Passerellidae
Description: lncRNA (ENSZALG00000016655.1)
Source: RNAcentral